UACGUAGGGGGCAAGCGUUGUCCGGAUUUAUUGGGCGUAAAGCGCACGCAGGCGGUCUCUUAAGUUUUGAGUGACAGGUAGUGGCUCAACCACAACAGGCCUCAGAAGACUGGGAGACUUGAGGACGAGAGAGGGAUGCGGAAUUCCAGGUGGAGCGGUGAAAUGCGUAGAUAUCUGGAGGAACACCGGUGGCGAAGGCGGCAUCCUGGACCAACACUGACACUGAGGAGCGAAAGCCAGGGGAGCAAACGGG
Molecule: ribosomal RNA, 253 nt
Filed under: uncultured bacterium
Lineage: Bacteria
Description: partial 16S ribosomal RNA
Rfam family: Bacterial small subunit ribosomal RNA
Source: RNAcentral